Molecule: long non-coding RNA, 3490 nt
Organism: Cottoperca gobio
Lineage: Eukaryota; Metazoa; Chordata; Actinopteri; Perciformes; Bovichtidae
Source: Ensembl
AUAUGAGGAACAUUGUAAUCACAGGGAAUAGAGCUGUUGAGGUGGGAGACGCUCUGAAUUUAACCUGCAGUGUUGAAAGCUUUCCUCCAUCUCAUAUCACAUGGACCAACACACACCUGUACAACGGACCCGCUACUAACCUGCAGAGCAACACUGGAUCAGCCACACUUGUCAUCCCGAAUGUGAAGACAGAAUAUUCUGCACGGUACAUCUGUACAGCACAACACCUGAACACGACUGUGACGACAUACGCUGAAGUAACAGUGAUUUGUAAGUAGAUUGUACUAAUCUUGAAAAUGAAGUUUAUGUUCACGUUUCAGAAUUUUCUUGUGAUUCUGCUUUUAUUGUGUUUUACAGUGUUUUCAAAGAUCUUAAAAAACUCUGGCUGUGUGGUUCAGUCGGAGGUCCUGAAUUGUGUGUGUAUCACUGAAGGCUUUCCUUUACCCACCAUCACAUGGCCGCUGUUGAAGAAACACACAGAGUACUCUGUCAUUACAUCUGUGUCAAACCACACAGUCAACAGCACCGUCAUCCUACCUGCAAAAGACCUCAGCAACACUUCUGUUGAGUGUGUCAGCAGCAAUGGACAUGGGGAAGCAAAACAAACCUUCACCAUCCUAAGAUCCAACACGUCGGAACAAGCGGGUAAAUCCAAUGAAAUAUUAAACAUUGUUUCACGGCUGGAAGUCAUCAUUGCCUUUUUGAUUGGGAUACUUCUUUCAGCAGUCCUUUGCUGUUUGACCACACAAUGCCUCAGAAAAAAUAAGAAGAACUCUGUAAAACUGGAUGAGACUCUGGAGAUGGUGACCAGCGAAGAGGAUCCACUGGUGUUGUGUGUGAGUGACGAGGCAGCGCUGAUCAAAUAAGAAUUAUUACCAUUACCUGUUUCUCGCCUCAAAGGUUUUCUUAAACAUAUUUUAAUGUAUUUAGCUGUAAAAUGAGUCAGUCGAGCCAAAAGCAAGCACCGCCCACCUGCCGGAGCAAACCUUCCCAUUUGUUAUUGGUCAGCUCACAGCCAAGCAGCUGAUAGGAGCCACUGAGGAUGAAGCAGCUGUUGCCGGAAAGCUCAAGCAAGCACAACUUCUGUGCUCUGACUGAACGUACCGGGAGAGAGAGGUGUCGGGACCCUUUGUGUAGCUUUGCAGUGCAAUACAGACUGGUCUGAUUAACAUUAAUUUUACUAUGAUAAAAGCAAAUACUACAAUCAUGAGAAGUCAUCUGUUCGAGGCAAAGACACAAAAACUACUUCUGCAAAAUUGCAUUGUUCAUAUUUGCCUGUUUAGGCACAAUGUUCGCAGCCUCCGCUGUCACUGCAGGGACAAUAAUCUUUCAUCUGCAUCGUGUGUUGACAUGAACAGUGUUUCUGUUCAUCUUUAUUCUCUAUGCCUUUAUAAAAAAAAAAAUGAAAUUAAUGAAUGGCAAUUUAAUGCUAUUAAAUAUGCCUUAUCAUUAAAAAUAAAAAGACUGGUAAAAAUAGAUUAGAAACGAGAAAGUCUAACUGGUCAGUAAUGUCAAUAUACCAGAUACAAAUGUCACAAUACACAAUUGAUGAAUGUAGCAGCUGCUGAAUGAGUUGUAUCAUUGACAUUGUACCUGACAGAUGGAUGCUGCUCAAGCAGUGGAAGAGGAUCAGACCUACCAAGAGGCAGCUGAAGGAGGAGGAGCUGUGGCAGCAGAGAGAGCAGCCACUGAUCUCGAUGGUGGACCCAAAGAUGUGGAGUACGCUAGCAUCAAUUUCUCCAUGUUGACAAGAAAGAGUCAGAGGGAGGCAGCAAAGAAGCAAGAGACCACAGAGACGGAGUACGCUGAAAUUAAGAAAGAGGUAAAAGAGGAAAGAGAUGACAAUGGAGGAGAGGAAGGUUGUGUGUUGGAGGGCAAAGAGGAGGAGGAGGCGCAACCUUGUGUUCCUAAAGAGGAGGAAGAGGAGGAUGUGGCAGUGUACUCCAAUGUGAAGGACAUAAUGGGUGAGAUUUGAGCACUGUUGCAUAGUGGAGUUGCGCUACGAUGAAUUCUUUGCUCUCAUCAGUUGUGAUGGAUUGAUGUACUGGAUUGACACACCUGUGAAUGAAUGGCGUCCUGUGAGCAGCUGUUUUCUUCAAACGUCACAUUCAGCAAGCGCUAAACUGAAGUGACUGAGACGCAUCACACCUCGACAUGUGGGAGGCUGUGCAAAGCCAUUCAUUCAGCUCAGGGUGGAAUGGAAGAGAAUUUCUUACUCAAAUGUUUUUGUGCUUUAAUGUGUUUACCGUUCAUAAACUUUCCAGAUAAGUUUGACCCACAUCAAUGAAAAGUUGACACCGGUAUUUUGGGACAACCACCUCUGCUCUGAGUGUUCUUUUGUUUGAUACAUUUUAUUUAACCAGGAUAAGCAUGGGUCUUAAGUGUCCCUCUGGUCAGCCCAAAGCUCUUUAGAGGCCCACAUUUCUCUGCCUCAGGUACAAAUGAACCUUCACGUUCACCGUGUAGCAAAGAGGUUUCUCUUUUUCAGCGUGCUCUUGGGAUGGCAAUGCUUUGUUAGACUGCUUUGGACCAGACUGGAAUAUCUCAACUAUGAUGGAUGUUCGUAUACAGACUUAAACCUCAAUGUUUUGAAUUUCUCCAUUCUGUUUUAUAUAUAUAUUAUUAUUAUGAAGAAUUACUGAAUUACAAAUUACAGCUCGGUAUGCCUUUUCUUUUUUUAGCUUUUCAUUUGAUCAGUGUUUUCAAACUUAUAACACAUUUAGCCCGAUUUGUCUCUAAAGGCCUGUUAGUGUUCUUUAGUAAGAAGUCAUACAUUGCUUCCCUUUUUUUUAAUGUGUUACAGGAAUCAUCUUGACUCAAGUACUAAAAGUGAACAGUAUCUGGCACAUGUGUUUGUCUGAAUAAUGAAAUCUUUGAGUGGUCCGUUACCACGAAGCCUUUCUAACUACAGAACCUGUGAACACUGCAGAAUGUACCAGAAGUGAGUGUUCAGUAUGUGUAACUGAUGAGGCCAAAGGUGAAGUCAGUUUAUUAUCUAGCACCUUGAAGUCUCAACAGGAAGUCAUUGGAGAGAAUCAAGUGAUGCUUUAUUAGGCAAUGUUUAAGUGAAGAACCACUUCAGGGACUUUUCUGAGAACAUAAAGGUGUUACAAUAAACCAUAUUGUUAAAAAUAGAAGUUCUUUCUAAGAUGCUUCAUGCAGCUGAAACAGGAACUAAGAUUUAAAUACUUUUUAGUUGCAGGUUUUUAAUUAACUUAAUCUUUGAUGGAAGUUGUACAUAAUUAAACUAAUGUUUAAACUAAUGACUUUUACAAUGGGCCAUCAUUAUUUAACUGCCGAUAUUAACAAGUAAUACAGACCAUUCACAUGCAUGCACAUCACUCUGCACGUAAUGUAUCAUGCCUACAAUGUAGAAGGAUAGUUUGUACAUAGAAUGUUUGGUUUCUUACAGUGACACAAUUUUCUCAAGCAGCCAUAUGGUACUUCCCCUUUCUCAGUUGUUCACCCCUUCACAGUCUUGUACCUGAUC